UACGGCUCAGUAACACGUGGACACCUACCCUCAGGUCGGGGAUAAACCCGGGAAACUGGGUAUAUACCCGAUAGAUCUCGGCUGCUGGAAUGCAUCGAGCUCUAAAGCUCCGGCGCUGAGGAUGGGUCUGCGGCCUAUCAGGUAGUAGUGGGUGUAGCGUACCUACUAGCCUACGACGGGUACGGGUUGUGAGAGCAAGAGCCCGGAGAUGGAUUCUGAGACACGAAUCCAGGCCCUACGGGGUGCAGCAGGCGCGAAAACUUUACAAUGCCGGCAACGGCGAUAAGGGGACCUCGAGUGCCAGGUUACAAAUCUGGCUGUCGUGAUGCCUAAAAAGCAUUGCAUAGCAAGGGCCGGGCAAGACCGGUGCCAGCCGCCGCGGUAACACCGGCGGCUCGAGUGGUAACCGUUAUUAUUGGGUCUAAAGGGUCUGUAGCCGGCCGGAUAAGUCUCUUGGGAAAUCCAGCAGCUUAACUGUUGGGCUUUCAGGAGAUACUGUCUGGCUCGAGGCCGGGAGAGGUGAGAGGUACUUCAGGGGUAGGGGUGAAAUCUUGUAAUCCUUGAAGGACCACCAGUGGCGAAGGCGUCUCACCAGAACGGACCUGACGGCAAGGGACGAAAGCUAGGGGCACGAACCGGAUUAGAUACCCGGGUAGUCCUAGCCGUAAACGAUACUCGCUAGGUGUCGGCCACGACGCGACCGUUGUCGGUGCCGUAGGGAAGCCGUGAAGCGAGCCA
RNAcentral lists this ribosomal RNA (738 nucleotides) under uncultured Methanotrichaceae archaeon. RNAcentral's name for it is "bacterial SSU rRNA". It matches the Rfam family "Archaeal small subunit ribosomal RNA", at positions 84 to 826 of the family's 1478-position model. The record is from RNAcentral. Lineage: Archaea; Methanobacteriati; Methanobacteriota; Methanomicrobia; Methanotrichales; Methanotrichaceae.